GGACCCGCACAAGUAGUGGAGCAUGUGGUUUAAUUCGAUGCAACGCGAAGAACCUUACCAGGGUUUGACAUCCUGCGAAUCUCUUGGAAACGAGAGAGUGCCUUCGGGAACGCAGUGACAGGUGGUGCAUGGCUGUCGUCAGCUCGUGUCGUGAGAUGUUGGUUAAGUCCCGCAACGAGCGCAACCCACGUCGUUAGUUGCCAGCAUUUAGUUGGGCACUCUAGCGAGACCGCCGGUGAUAAACCGGAGGAAGGUGUGGAUGACGUCAAGUCAUCAUGCCCCUUACAUCCUGGGCUACACACGUACUACAAUGCUACGGACAAAGGGCAGCAAACUCGCGAGAGCUAGCA
RNAcentral lists this ribosomal RNA (350 nucleotides) under uncultured bacterium. Its description in RNAcentral is "bacterial SSU rRNA". It matches the Rfam family "Bacterial small subunit ribosomal RNA", at positions 917 to 1269 of the family's 1533-position model. The record is from RNAcentral.